ACGCUGGCGGCGUGCCUAAUACAUGCAAGUCGAACGGUAACCCUUGGAUUCGUCUGAGGGGGAGAGUGGCGAACUGGUGAGUAACACGUAUGUGACCUGCCUCGAAGACGGGGAUAACCAUCGGAAACGGUGGCUAAUACCCGAUACAUUCGGCAAUUCAGUUUGUCGAGUAAAGCUCCGGCGCUUCGAGAUGGACCUGCGGCCUAUCAGCUAGUUGGUAGGGUAAUGGCCUACCAAGGCGAAGACGGGUAGGGGGCGUGAGAGCGUGGUCCCCCACACUGGCACUGAGAUACGGGCCAGACUCCUGCGGGAGGCAGCAGUCGGGGAUAUUGCACAAUCAGCGAAAGCUGGAUGCAGCGACGCCGCGUGGGCGAUGAAGGCCUUCGGGUUGUAAAGCCCUUUUAUGGGGGAAGAGAAAAGGGACGGUACCCCAAGAAUAAGUCCCGGCUAACUACGUGCCAGCAGCCGCGGUAAAACGUAGGGGACAAGCGUUAUCCGGAUUUACUGGGCGUAAAGAGCGUUGAGGCGGUUCCGUAAGUUGGGCGUAAAGCCCCGGGCUCAAUCGGGGAGGUCGUUCAAUACUGCGGAACUUGAGGGCAGCAGAGGGAGGCGGAAUCCCGGUGUACGGUGAAUGCGUAGAUAUCGGGAGGAACACCAGUGGCGAAGGCGGACUCCAUGGGACUGGCUCACUGAACCGGCUGGAAGGCGAAACGCUAGGGGAGCGAACGGGAUUAGAAACCC
This 741-nucleotide ribosomal RNA is filed under the name uncultured organism. RNAcentral describes it as "bacterial SSU rRNA". It matches the Rfam family "Bacterial small subunit ribosomal RNA", at positions 33 to 787 of the family's 1533-position model. The record is from RNAcentral.